AGCAGCCGCGGUAAUUCCAGCUCCAAUAGCGUAUAUUAAAGUUGUUGCAGUUAAAAAGCUCGUAGUUGAAUUUCGGGAUUGACACAUCGGUCGUGCCUUAAGGGGUAUGAACUGGUGUAGUCAAUUUCUCACCUUCUGGAGAACCGCGAUGCCCUUAAUUGGGUGUCGCGGGGAACCAGGACCUUUACUUUGAAAAAAUUAGAGUGUUUAAAGCAGGCAUUUUGCUUGAAUACAUUAGCAUGGAAUAAUAAAAUAGGACGACAUGAUUCUAUUUUGUUGGUUUCUAGGAUCACCGUAAUGAUUAAUAGGGAUAGUUGGGGGCAUUAGUAUUCAAUUGUCAGAGGUGAAAUUCUUGGAUUUAUUGAAGACUAACUACUGCGAAAGCAUUUGCCAAGGAUGUUUUCAUUAAUCAAGAACGAAAGUUAGGGGAUCGAAGACGAUCAGAUACCGUCGUAGUCUUAACCAUAAACUAUGCCGACUAGGAAUCAGACGAUG
RNAcentral lists this ribosomal RNA (495 nucleotides) under uncultured Entrophospora. RNAcentral describes it as "SSU rRNA". It matches the Rfam family "Eukaryotic small subunit ribosomal RNA", at positions 569 to 1062 of the family's 1831-position model. The record is from RNAcentral. Lineage: Eukaryota; Fungi; Glomeromycota; Glomeromycetes; Entrophosporales; Entrophosporaceae.